AAGCAGAGGGGGCUUAGUGGUGGGGUGACUGCGUACCUUUUGUAUAAUGGGUCAGCGACUUAUAUUCUGUAGCAAGGUUAACCGUAUAGGGGAGCCGGAGGGAAACCGAGUCUUAAUUGGGCGUUAAGUUGCAGGGUAUAGACCCGAAACCCGGUGAUCUAGCCAUGGGCAGGUUGAAGGUUGGGUAACACUAACUGGAGGACCGAACCGACUAAUGUUGAAAAAUUAGCGGAUGACCUGUGGCUGGGGGUGAAAGGCCAAUCAAACCGGGAGAUAGCUGGUUCUCCCCGAAAGCUAUUUAGGUAGCGCCUCGUGAAUUCAUCUCCGGGGGUAGAGCACUGUUUCGGCUAGGGGGCCAUCCCGGCUUACCAACCCGAUGCAAACUGCGAAUACCGGAGAAUGUUAUCACGGGAGACACACGGCGGGUGCUAACGUCCGUCGUGAAGAGGGAAACAACCCAGACCGCCAGCUAAGGUCCCAAAGUCAUGGUUAAGUGGGAAACGAUGUGGGAAGGCCCAGACAGCCAGGAUGUUGGCUUAGAAGCAGCCAUCAUUUAAAGAAAGCGUAAUAGCUCACUGGUCGAGUCGGCCUGCGCGGAAGAUGUAACGGGGCUAAACCAUGCACCGAAGCUGCGGCAGCGAACGUAUCACCCAAGACAACUUUACGGAGUUGACGAUUGACGGAGCGAAGCGACGUCAAAGCGUUCAUUAAAGUCGAGUUGGCUUAGGGAUACGUUCGUUGGGUAGGGGAGCGUUCUGUAAGCCUGUGAAGGUGGCCUGUGAGGGUUGCUGGAGGUAUCAGAAGUGCGAAUGCUGACAUAAGUAACGAUAAAGCGGGUGAAAAGCCCGCUCGCCGGAAGACCAAGGGUUCCUGUCCAACGUUAAUCGGGGCAGGGUGAGUCGACCCCUAAGGCGAGGCCGAAAGGCGUAGUCGAUGGGAAACGGGUUAAUAUUCCCGUACUUGGUGUUACUGCGAAGGGGGGACGGAGAAGGCUAUGUUGGCCGGGCGACGGUUGUCCCGGUUUAAGCGU
RNAcentral lists this ribosomal RNA (1030 nucleotides) under Salmonella enterica. RNAcentral describes it as "partial 23S ribosomal RNA". It matches the Rfam family "Bacterial large subunit ribosomal RNA", at positions 568 to 1519 of the family's 2925-position model. The record is from RNAcentral. Lineage: Bacteria; Pseudomonadati; Pseudomonadota; Gammaproteobacteria; Enterobacterales; Enterobacteriaceae.